UUCCCUUUGUCAUCCUAUGCCUGGAAGUCAAAAUGGGGCAGGGACAGCAAAGGGAUGA
This 58-nucleotide microRNA precursor is filed under the name Ornithorhynchus anatinus (platypus). RNAcentral describes it as "Oan-Mir-204-P1_pre stem-loop". It matches the Rfam family "mir-204 microRNA precursor family", at positions 17 to 73 of the family's 89-position model. The record is from RNAcentral. Lineage: Eukaryota; Metazoa; Chordata; Mammalia; Monotremata; Ornithorhynchidae.